RNAcentral lists this long non-coding RNA (1492 nucleotides) under Homo sapiens (human). Its description in RNAcentral is "non-protein coding lnc-RGS8-6:1". The record is from RNAcentral. Lineage: Eukaryota; Metazoa; Chordata; Mammalia; Primates; Hominidae.
ACACAGCUGUGUGGGCCAAGGGGGCUGGUGUAUCUCCACAUGCAAGCACGUAGAUACCGAGGAACCUGGCCAGCCCUGCAGCCUGACUCGGGAUGGCUGCCUCUAUGCCCUCUGCGUCUGACUUUCUCCUUUGAGAUAAAGGUGUUUUGGCCCAAGCUGAGUGCAUUGCUGGGCAGCGGCCAUGCCGAAGGUGGUAGCUGAAGGGACCCUUGAUCGAAAGACGCUCUGCCAUGCUUUCUGAGUCCUGUCUCCUCCAAGCUUGUCUCCUAGACUGUUUCCCCUGUCUGUUUUCCUGCGCCCUUGUGUUUGGCCAUUUUUGCAUUAGGCUGUGUCUCUGUACCCAAGGCCACGUGACAAGGUAGUUGGAACCCCCACUCAAGUGGUGAGUGAAGAGCGUCGUGGUAAUAAUAAUAGUAGUAACACAACUUCCAAAUUUCUCAGUGGAGAGUGUCACGUCCUGGGGGUAUCAAGAUCUGUGAGGCCUUUCCAAGCCCUCACCAUUCCCUCUUUGGUCCCACGUUGGGUGGGCAGCUGGGAAGGUCCUAGUUGAUUUUAAUCUCCGGUGCUUUCCCCAGAACUGCUGCUCUGAAUAAACCAAAGCUGUGAAAGAGUGUUCUGCGCAGGCUGCGGGCCCAGCCUCUGGGUGCAGGCCCUGGGCACUUGAGCUGAGCAGCUCAGCUGGCUCUGCUGUGAGGGAAAGCCGUGAACUUAACUGUGCUGAGAGCUGGGUGAGGGCAAAAUGGGGAAGACUGAAGAAGAAGGAGCAGGUGGGAGAGACCAGCCGCUAACAUGGUGUCUACUUCUCCGUGGAUCAGAGAAGGGAUGAGUAGCAAAUGCAGAGGCAGGGUGGUCUCCCAGCAACAAGGAUGUCCAGAGUUCUCCUGACCCUGUCUGCACCCACUUCCAUGCAAGGCAGAGGCAUCACAGUUUUCCAUCCCAGGCCACCCUUCACUCUUCCAAGUGUCAGGCCUCUUUAAAUCUGCAUCCCUUUGGGUUAGAAGCAAGAGAGGUGGCAAAGUCUCCCUGGCACUGAGAGCCUGUCCCACCAUGCCACUCGGCAUGAGAUGGUGGAGGAAGAAGCCAAGAGCAGGGAUGCCUUCCUGUCCCCGUGGCCUCUCAGGACUCCACAAGAUGCUGUGGACCAAGAUGAGAGAUUUCAGGAUGGGGCCACUGGCCUUCCUAGGUUGGGCUCUGGGUCCUUUCAAUAAACUGUUCCUUUCCUGAUUCUUACUCCCUUCUGGUCCUUCCACUCCCUUCCCUCUGCCAGGUAUGGAAAAGGUGGCUGGGCUCGGUGUGCGCUCCAACCCCGGUAGCAUUAGCUGAGUCACGCGGCGAGCACACAACAGAUUUGUAGCAGCUCAUCUGCCAUAUAAACCGCUUGGCUGAUGGAGUCCUCAUUGAGUUUUUUCAUUAUCGUGUAAAGUGGAAUCAUGUCAUUCACCUUUACUAUAAACAAGGCUGUGAGAACAUAAUAAACAGAACCUGAACAAGC